UACCUUUCGGGCGGGGCGGACACCAGCCGCGCGCCCUCGCCGGGCGCCGGGACCGGAAAAUCACCGCGAAGGGAGGGACGAGGAAAGGCGGCGGGUGGCUUCAGGACAAGGACUUUGUGAUUACAUUGGGCCCAUCCAGAUCAUCCAGGAUCAUCUUCCCAUCUCAAGAUUCUUCACUUAAUCACAUCUGCAAAAUUCCUUUUGCUGUCUGUGAGAUAUCGGUGGGCGAGGAUGUGAUGCCUGAAGAUGUGGCAUCUACCUUGAAACAGUCAAGGACCUGAGGAUGAAGCCAGCAUCUGAGGAAGACAGACAGAAAGGAUCUGGAUACAUCAUGAGGUAAAUGAGCUGCUAAAUUAUCCAAACCUGGAAUAAUAAUAAAAUAUGUCAUUUAGUAUAUUUACAGGUAGUAUAUUCAAGUACAUUCAAUGUUAAAGUCAAUCAUGAUAUUCUUCCCCUUCUUACAGCCUGAAAAGUAUCUUGCAUACACAACUGGCAGCACAGAAUCCUGACAAACCUCUCAUCAGAAAUCAACCACAGACUCUUUAUGCUCUUACCAAAAUGCUGGCUUUGAGAACUAAUUAUGAAUGAAAAUUACUGAUGUGAUUUUCAGGUGAGAGACCCUAUUAGACAAAAUUUUGGAUUCAUUUUUUUCUCUUGAGUAAAACAUGGGGAAAAAAUCUUUCUCAAUUUUAUCUUUGAAUCAAACUAUAUCAUGAAAGGGCUAUGUUUUUAUCCCUUACAAUUAAUACCAUGAAGGGUCCAGCAAUAGAAUACAUCACCUGUAUUAACUAUAUAACUAUCUUUCAGAAUUAAUUCCUGCAUAGGUAAAUGAGUAAUUCUCUAAUUCCUACAAUUUCUACAACUCUAAGAUUCUGUGAUAUCAAAAUUUUCAAGUAUUAUACUAAACUCUCAAUAUAUAUUGAUAAGCUGGUUCUUUUGCUAUUGCAAAAAUUCAACUAAGAGAUAGGAAAAUGGGUCAAUGGCAACAACAAAUUAAUGGAGACUGCAGCAAAAGAUUAUUUAACAUACUUUCUUCCCUUUUAUGGAAAAGAGAGCUGUUCUCCUUUUUGAACCAUAUUCCCCUAAAUACCCUCACAAUCUUCUUAGGCCUCUCACUCCUUCAUUUUCUUUUCUAGCCCCUUCAUCUCAUCCUUAUUUUGAAUUCAGAUGAGUUAAUACAGUUUGAUGGCCUAGUUCAGAUUCUAGAAAGGGACAGCUAUUCAGAGAUGAUAGUGACAUGCUUUUCUCUUCUCACAUUGCUUCUCUUUAAAGAAUUUACAGGACUUCUGCCUACAUUUACAUCUGAAAACAAUAGUUUCAUUUGGUGUCACAUCCUUGCCCAAAUUUAUUGAGAAUAUUGGUAAAGGACAACAUAUUUACAAGGAUUUCUUUAUUAAAAACUGGGGAGAUUGGCAAGUGACACUGUCACUAAAUAAAUAAAAAUAAAAACUGAGAAAAGCAAUAACAUUUGAUUUGUCAUUUCCCAGUCUAGGGAAGAAUAUCAAGUUAAACUUUAUGAAGUCCAAGACAAUGGGAAAAGAAGAGGUGUUCCUGUCCAGGCCCUCUUCCAGUUAGAAGGUGAUGGUUUCCAGAAGUCUGCACCUGUAUUUCAAUUACCUAUAAUGGAGUUUAUAGGACUAAACUAUAUUCACUAUAUUUUCUUAUUUUUGUGUGUGUGUUUGAUGUGCUGGCAACUGGGGACUUGGUAACUGGGGAGGGAUAGCUCUUCUCAGGAAGAGCUAAUUCUUAGAGAUACAGGGAGCAUGCUUUUCAUAUGCAAACUACUCAAACUGGAGUCCACACUUCCCCAACCUCCUCUAUAGGACUCUUACUCUCCUGCCCGAUAUUCCCCUGCUCUAAUCAUCUUGGGGCCAGGUACCAGGCAACUCAGGACGGCCACUACACCUCCAGAGCCCACUGACAUUAUUAAAACUAGACAAUUCUAAGCUGCUUGCCCUACCUUGACCUUAUUCCUUUUGUUGCAAAACGCAAUAAAGGGUCUUGCCACAUUUUCCUUCUGCUCCCUCUGCCUCCGGACUGACCCUGGUGCUUUCCUUUGUGGGCCUUCGUGGCUUACCUCGUGUUUCUAGGAACCUGCAAGUGUAAAAACUUCUUUCUUCAUGACAGUCAUUUCCAUGACUGCUGCCUUACUAUACCUGAUUUAAACAAAUCCUGAGCACAUUUUAAAACAUAAAUUCAACAGCUGGACCUGCUAUGCAGAGCAAUUCAGGCGGAGGGAAUGGCUCAUGCACACUCUCCAAGUACUGUUAGGUAUGAGUUCUAAAUUUCUCUUCAAAGAAUCAAUAUGUCAGUAUGUUCAGUUCUUUGCCUUCUACUGUUAAACUUAACUUCCUCGUAAAGCAACCUUUUUCCAUUACCUGCUCCACCCUGACUCAUUCUGAUUACCUGCUCAUUCUCCACCCUGGCUUACUCUGAUUUCCUGCUCUGCCCUGUAACCAUUUUUCCCGCCAAACCACUCACCCUGUCACUCUCUUUAAAUUAGCCAAUUGGAAUUAGUUUAGCCUGUGCAGUCUAACCCAAGCCAAUAGGGGAACCAUACAGCAGCAGGGACCACGUGCCUCAGGGAUAAGAACCCCUUCCCCUCCCUUGUCCAAGUGUGCGCUCACGAUUGCUCCAUCUGUAAGGGUGCACCCUUCUAUAGAAGUACGU
Molecule: long non-coding RNA, 2670 nt
Organism: Homo sapiens (human)
Lineage: Eukaryota; Metazoa; Chordata; Mammalia; Primates; Hominidae
Gene: ST3GAL6-AS1
Product: ST3GAL6 antisense RNA 1
Source: Ensembl